This is a long non-coding RNA of Olea europaea var. sylvestris, 1376 nucleotides long. RefSeq lists it as uncharacterized. The record is from RefSeq and is a predicted model, not a curated record. The transcript is spliced from 2 exons. Lineage: Eukaryota; Viridiplantae; Streptophyta; Magnoliopsida; Lamiales; Oleaceae.
AGAGUAGCAUUGGAGCGUUGGGGAUUAGGGGUUUGAAGAAAGAUGGUAUGAAACAAGGGAGAUUGGGGUCGAAGGUAUUAGAAGGGAAAAGUACUGAGAAUGGACGGAACAAUAGUGUUCUGAAUGGUUCAAGAAAAUCUAAUGUUGAGUUUGAGAGUAACGCAAAUGUGUGCUUUGUAUGUGUGCCAAAAUGACUUGUCUGGAUGUAGCUCAUGGUGUUAACCAAUCAUUGAAUAUGGGCACAUAAUAUGCACGCAUCAACUAUCAUUGAUAAAAGGCCUCUGCAAAUUCAAAUUUCUAUGGUUAUCCAGUAGCUAAAACACGAAGAUGAAGGAUCGAUAGCUAUUUUUCAUCUGCGUGGAAAUUUAAAUACGAUUUCCAGCAAUAGCAACUAUUGUUGCUAAUUUUGCGAUCUUCCGGGAUUCAGGUUUCUUUGUGUAUUCUAUAGUUUCACAAUUCUACGGAUACUGCACUUGUCUAGAAAUUACUAACUAUCUAUACAGCACUAUAUUAGAAAUUCUGAAAAUUUGAGAACUCUGAUCUAAGUAAACACUGCUGGUGAUUUGGUUUUCCAUUUUGUUUACGUUUGGUUGUUGACUUUUUGCAUAUGCCAUAUAAAAAUGGCAUUUAGAAAGUGUUUGAUUUGUAAUAUGUUGGGGAUUAGGAAUUAUAUCAUGAUAAAUUUGGUUUAUUAUCUUGAUAGAUUUUAGCCUUCCGUUUUUUAUUAUUUAUCUUGGAACUUAGGAGCAAAUCUUGAAGCAUACAACAGGCAUGAUACUGGUGAUAAUUCUAUGAAGCUUAAAGUAGUGUUUGGCAAGAAUGACAAAAUGACAUUGAAAUGGGCCACGUGUGCAUAUAUGCAACUGUAUCAUGAUUUUCCUUAUUGUAUUUAAGCAGGUAGCAGAGCCUCGGCAACUGUACAACUAUUUCUUUUGCUCCACCUUAAGAUUUACUGUAUAAUAGAAGAUGCACUUCAUUGGUUUCUGCACGAGAAAUGUUGCCAAGUUCUAUCCAAUUCACCCAACGCAGCAUGGCAAAAAAAUAAAGGGACAACGAGUCAGACUGUGAACUGUGAUAUAGUUGGAAGGGAUAUAAAGAGGAAAGGAAAGGAAGGGAAAAGAAAACCAGAAUCCUUGCUUAGAUAGAGAAGCAAAGUGGCUUUGUGUCUCAUUCAUUCAAUUUUCCAGAUGAUUUGUUAAAGCAUAUGUUCCGAAGGCAUCUCAACACAUUUUCCUAUUAUUCUCAUUCUCUAGAGAAAAUAUUGUAUUUUUGCUUUCAUCUAAAUUAGGUACUACUUGACACCAUUUGACUAAAGAUUUUGCUCAAUGAACAACAAACCAUAUGGUUAAAUAACGUAUAACGUUAUGUUGAGAUCA